AUUGAACGCUGGCGGCAGGCCUAACACAUGCAAGUCGAACGGUAACAGGAAGCAGCUUGCUGCUUCGCUGACGAGUGGCGGACGGGUGAGUAAUGUCUGGGAAACUGCCUGAUGGAGGGGGAUAACUACUGGAAACGGUAGCUAAUACCGCAUAACGUCGCAAGACCAAAGAGGGGGACCUUAGGGCCUCUUGCCAUCGGAUGUGCCCAGAUGGGAUUAGCUAGUAGGUGGGGUAACGGCUCACCUAGGCGACGAUCCCUAGCUGGUCUGAGAGGAUGACCAGCCACACUGGAACUGAGACACGGUCCAGACUCCUACGGGAGGCAGCAGUGGGGAAUAUUGCACAAUGGGCGCAAGCCUGAUGCAGCCACGCCGCGUGUAUGAAGAAGGCCUUCGGGUUGUAAAGUACUUUCAGCGGGGAGGAAGGGAGUAAAGUUAAUACCUUUGCUCAUUGACGUUACCCGCAGAAGAAGCGCCGGCUAACUCCGUG
This 490-nucleotide ribosomal RNA is filed under the name uncultured bacterium. RNAcentral describes it as "partial 16S ribosomal RNA". It matches the Rfam family "Bacterial small subunit ribosomal RNA", at positions 30 to 507 of the family's 1533-position model. The record is from RNAcentral.